CGUGUAGCCGGGAAGGCAAGUCAGAUGUGAAAUCUAUGGGCUCAACCCAUACGAGCAUUUGAAACUGUCUUUCUUGAGUAUCGGAGAGGUAAUCGGAAUUCCUAGUGUAGCGGUGAAAUGCGUAGAUAUUAGGAAGAACACCAGUGGCGAAGGCGGAUUACUGGACGACAACUGACGGUGAGGCGCGAAAGCGUGGGGAGCAAACAGGAUUAGAUACCCCCGUA
Molecule: ribosomal RNA, 224 nt
Filed under: uncultured Oscillibacter sp.
Lineage: Bacteria; Bacillati; Bacillota; Clostridia; Eubacteriales; Oscillospiraceae
Description: partial 16S ribosomal RNA
Rfam family: Bacterial small subunit ribosomal RNA
Source: RNAcentral